RNAcentral lists this transfer RNA (73 nucleotides) under Myotis davidii. It matches the Rfam family "tRNA". From Rfam's summary of the family: Transfer RNA (tRNA) molecules are approximately 80 nucleotides in length. Their secondary structure includes four short double-helical elements and three loops (D, anti-codon, and T loops). Lineage: Eukaryota; Metazoa; Chordata; Mammalia; Chiroptera; Vespertilionidae. The record is from Rfam by way of RNAcentral.
GCCAGUUUGGCUCAGUGGAUAGAGCAUCAGUCUAAGGACUGAAGAGUCCUGGGUUCGAUUCCAGUCAAGGGCA